Molecule: ribosomal RNA, 453 nt
Filed under: Novosphingobium subterraneum
Lineage: Bacteria; Pseudomonadati; Pseudomonadota; Alphaproteobacteria; Sphingomonadales; Sphingomonadaceae
Description: bacterial SSU rRNA
Rfam family: Bacterial small subunit ribosomal RNA
Source: RNAcentral
GCGUAACGCGUGGGAAUCUGCCCUUUGCUUCGGAAUAACAGUUAGAAAUGACUGCUAAUACCGGAUGAUGUCUUCGGACCAAAGAUUUAUCGGCAAGGGAUGAGCCCGCGUAGGAUUAGGUAGUUGGUGGGGUAAAGGCCUACCAAGCCGACGAUCCUUAGCUGGUCUGAGAGGAUGAUCAGCCACACUGGGACUGAGACACGGCCCAGACUCCUACGGGAGGCAGCAGUGGGGAAUAUUGGACAAUGGGCGCAAGCCUGAUCCAGCAAUGCCGCGUGAGUGAUGAAGGCCUUCGGGUCGUAAAGCUCUUUUACCAGGGAUGAUAAUGACAGUACCUGGAGAAUAAGCUCCGGCUAACUCCGUGCCAGCAGCCGCGGUAAUACGGAGGGAGCUAGCGUUGUUCGGAAUUACUGGGCGUAAAGCGCACGUAGGCGGCGACACAAGUCAGAGGUG